This 489-nucleotide ribosomal RNA is filed under the name uncultured bacterium. Its description in RNAcentral is "bacterial SSU rRNA". It matches the Rfam family "Bacterial small subunit ribosomal RNA", at positions 28 to 507 of the family's 1533-position model. The record is from RNAcentral.
GACUAACGCUGGCGGCGUGCCUAACACAUGCAAGUCGUACGAGAAAGUCCCGUUCGCGGGAUGAGUAAAGUGGCGAACGGGUGAGUAACGCGUUGGUGACCUGCCCCGAAGCGAGGGAUAACAGUUCGAAAGAACUGCUAAUACCUCAUGUGAUCACCGGUUUUAGAAUCUGGUGAUUAAAGGUGAAAAUCACUUCGGGAGGGGCCUGCGUCCCAUCAGCUAGUUGGUAAGGUAAUGGCUUACCAAGGCGACGAUCCGUAGCGGGUCUGAGAGGAUGAUCCGCCACACUGGGACUGAGACACGGCCCAGACUCCUACGGGAGGCAGCAGUGGGGAAUUUUGGACAAUGGGCGCAAGCCUGAUCCAGCCAUGCCGCGUGAGUGAAGAAGGCCUUCGGGUUGUAAAGCUCUUUCGGCGGGGAAGAAAUUGCACUGGCUAAUACCGAGUGUAGAUGACGGUACCCGCAUAAGAAGCACCGGCUAACUACGUG